This is a long non-coding RNA of Danio aesculapii, 466 nucleotides long. RefSeq lists it as uncharacterized. The record is from RefSeq and is a predicted model, not a curated record. NCBI's taxonomy places the organism in Eukaryota, Metazoa, Chordata, Actinopteri, Cypriniformes, Danionidae. The transcript has 3 exons.
CGUAAGAGAGAGAAAAUCUCAAAUGAAAUUCAGGUUCUGUGAUCACCCUGCAGGUGAACUGAUUUAUGCAUUUGUCUACACAUUUUGUUUGUGUUUGUACAUAGGUUACAAUGGUAGCAGAUAUUGGUGGUUCUUCACUGGAUGAUGCUACCAGGAGGAUGAUGAGAUUCCUAAUUUCAAAUGAAUUGGCGAUCCAGUACAACCUCUUUGGCUGUCUGGCAAGAAAAGGUUUCGAGGUGUACUGAAGAAGAAUGCGAUGACCAAAAGCGUGAACCAGAAAGACAGAGAAAAGAAGCCUUUAAAGAGGAACCCAGAGAAGGAUCAAAAGUGGAGGAGACCAGAUCAAGAUCGGCAGUCAGUCCAAAGGUUCUUUCACUAAUUAACAAGAUUUCAGACUAUGAAUGGAUUGAGAAAAACUGAGUGUCAGAUCUUCCAACAUUUCCUAUCAGAGAUUCUUGGCAGCGUC